UACGUAGGGGCAAGCGUUGUCCGGAAUCAUUGGCGUAAGAAGUGCGUAGGCGGUUCCGGUAAGUCCGCCCUGAAAGAUCCCGGGGGCUCAACCCCGGGAGGCGGGCGGAUACUGACCGGGCUAGAGUCCGGAAGAGGCGAGUGGAAUUCCGUGGUGUAGCGGUGAAAUGCGCAGAUAUCAGGAGGAACACCGAUGGCGAAGGCAGCUCCCUGGGUCAAGAUUGACGCUCAUGCACGAAAGCGUGGGGAGCAAACAGG
Molecule: ribosomal RNA, 257 nt
Filed under: uncultured bacterium
Lineage: Bacteria
Description: partial 16S ribosomal RNA
Rfam family: Bacterial small subunit ribosomal RNA
Source: RNAcentral